RNAcentral lists this unclassified non-coding RNA (227 nucleotides) under Hevea brasiliensis (rubber tree). The record is from RNAcentral. Lineage: Eukaryota; Viridiplantae; Streptophyta; Magnoliopsida; Malpighiales; Euphorbiaceae.
AAGAUGAAGAGGAUGGUUAUCCCUGAUGCCCUUAAGGUGUUGAGACUUCAGAAGGGACACAAGUACUGCCUGUUAGGGAGGUUGUCAUCUGAGGUUGGAUGGAACCACUAUGAAACCAUCAGGGAGCUGGAGAAGAAGAGAAAGGAGAGAGCUCAAGUUUUGUAUGAGAGGAAGAAGCAACUGAAUAAACUCAGAGCAAAAGCUGAGAAGGUUGCAGAGGAGAAGCU